Molecule: long non-coding RNA, 730 nt
Organism: Sarcophilus harrisii (Tasmanian devil)
Lineage: Eukaryota; Metazoa; Chordata; Mammalia; Dasyuromorphia; Dasyuridae
Exons: 3
Source: RefSeq, a predicted model, not a curated record
UUUUGUGCAUUCCUAUUAUCCAACAAUAUGCGUUAUCAGAAAUUAAUGUUAAAUGCCCAUUGUUUGCUUUGCACAUAUUAGAAGCUUCUAAAAGGGAUAUGGAGACAACUGCAUAAAAAAAGUCCCAGUGCCAUAUGAAGGACAACACUGUUGCAACUGGGUACUGCCUGAGUAUUCUGACUGAUCAGGGACUGUUAUUAUGGCAGAAUGGAUACAGGGAUCCAGCAAAUCCUUCAAGGUUCUUCUGGACAGACGCAUUGCCUUGAGCACAUGCAGGACUUUCCCAGGCAGAUGAACUCUCUGCUGGAUUUUUAAAUGCAGUUAUGAAAGUCACCAGGUGGUCUUCAGGUGGCAAGGCCACAGGGGAAAAUAAUGGUAAUCCAGCAAUGGAUUUACAAAAAAAGAAUUCUGAGAAUGAAGAACAGCUUUGGUCCAGACUGAGAAGAAGAAAUGACUCGAAAGAGAUAGAAUGUUGUUAGAAGUGAUGCUGACAAGGAUUAAGAGUGUUAAGGCUAAACUGGAGGCAGCUGAGAAUAAACUGCUAAGUAAAUCAGAGGCAUCUUUGGAAUGCUAUCUAAAUUGGAAAUGACAAAGACAAACUAGAGAGAGCUUCUUUAGAAGCUUUCAGCAGUAAUUUCCUCCUUUACCUCAGUUGACACAAGCCUUCCUUCUCUUCUCCCCUGCCUUCCCUUCUCUCCUUCCCUCCCCUCCUCUCCUUUAUUUCCCUGUC